This 161-nucleotide ribosomal RNA is filed under the name Caryophanales bacterium S1S104. RNAcentral's name for it is "partial 16S rRNA". It matches the Rfam family "Bacterial small subunit ribosomal RNA", at positions 355 to 507 of the family's 1533-position model. Lineage: Bacteria; Bacillati; Bacillota; Bacilli; Caryophanales. The record is from RNAcentral.
UAGGGAAUCUUCCGCAAUGGACGAAAGUCUGACGGAGCAACGCCGCGUGAGUGAUGAAGGCUUUCGGGUCGUAAAACUCUGUUGUUAGGGAAGAAUAAGUGCUAGUUGAAUAAGCUGGCACCUUGACGGUACCUAACCAGAAAGCCACGGCUAACUACGUG